Molecule: long non-coding RNA, 315 nt
Organism: Anguilla rostrata (American eel)
Lineage: Eukaryota; Metazoa; Chordata; Actinopteri; Anguilliformes; Anguillidae
Exons: 2
Source: RefSeq, a predicted model, not a curated record
AUAAGUUCACUAAUGAGCACCCAGGAACUCUUGAAGGGCUUCGUGGCGCAAGACAGAGUACCCUGUUCCACAAAGCCCAAGGUAGCAAGUUCAAUCCCCCUUCUGUUCUGUCUGUCUGGUGCUUCCCCUAACUCACCGCUCUGCUGUGGCUCUAAGAACCGGCUGUAAGACAUAGGUAACAAGGUUCAUCAUCAUCAGAUUUGAGCCAGCCACGGCCGGGGGGGUUCCAGCUUUUUUCUUUUUUUUUUGGGAAAUAGUUCUGUUGCGUCAUCUUCUUCUACCCAUAGAAGAGCCGGCCGAUUCACAGAAGAGAAG